This 253-nucleotide ribosomal RNA is filed under the name uncultured bacterium. Its description in RNAcentral is "partial 16S ribosomal RNA". It matches the Rfam family "Bacterial small subunit ribosomal RNA", at positions 524 to 776 of the family's 1533-position model. The record is from RNAcentral.
UACGAAGGGGGCUAGCGUUGCUCGGAAUCACUGGGCGUAAAGCGCACGUAGGCGGCUUCUUAAGUCAGGGGUGAAAUCCUGGAGCUCAACUCCAGAACUGCCUUUGAUACUGAGAAGCUUGAGUCCGGGAGAGGUGAGUGGAACUGCGAGUGUAGAGGUGAAAUUCGUAGAUAUUAGCUAGAACACCAGUGGCGAAGGCGGCCAACUGGUCCGGUACUGACGCUGAGGUGCGAAAGCGUGGGGAGCAAACAGG